RNAcentral lists this ribosomal RNA (488 nucleotides) under uncultured bacterium. RNAcentral describes it as "partial 16S ribosomal RNA". It matches the Rfam family "Bacterial small subunit ribosomal RNA", at positions 29 to 503 of the family's 1533-position model. The record is from RNAcentral.
AGUGAACGCUGGCGGUAGGCCUAACGCAUGCAAGUCGAACGGCAGCACAGUAAGAGCUUGCUCUUACGGGUGGCGAGUGGCGGACGGGUGAGGAAUACAUCGGAAUCUACUUUUUCGUGGGGGAUAACGUAGGGAAACUUACGCUAAUACCGCAUACGACCUACGGGUGAAAGCAGGGGAUCUUCGGACCUUGCGCGAUUGAAUGAGCCGAUGUCGGAUUAGCUAGUUGGCGGGGUAAAGGCCCACCAAGGCGACGAUCCGUAGCUGGUCUGAGAGGAUGAUCAGCCACACUGGAACUGAGACACGGUCCAGACUCCUACGGGAGGCAGCAGUGGGGAAUAUUGGACAAUGGGCGCAAGCCUGAUCCAGCCAUACCGCGUGGGUGAAGAAGGCCUUCGGGUUGUAAAGCCCUUUUGUUGGGAAAGAAAAGCAGCAGGUUAAUACCCCGCUGUUCUGACGGUACCCAAAGAAUAAGCACCGGCUAACUU